CCUGUUACAUGUCACUCUAGCAUCUCACCUGUGGUUCAGCCUGUUACAUGUCACUCUAGCAUCUCUCCUGUGGUUCAGCCUGUUACAUGUCACUCUAGCAUCUCUCCUGUGGUUCAGCCUGUCAGUUGUGGUCCAGGGGUCAACUUGAGAGGUCACUCACUCCCAUGGCCCUGCCACAACACCAAUACCAUUCAACCUACUCUGACCUACACUGGCCUCAGAAAAACAGCAGAAAAACAUGGAAGACUUUUGGUUUGAACUGAAUGUCAUUGCUCCCUGAUUAUAAUCUGAUGUUAACAUGCCUUCGGACUUUGUACAUAUUUUGAACAUGGCCUUGUUGGUUUGGUUUUUACAUGAGAAUGUGUCUAUAAGUGCUUUAUAGGCAAAGCGUUUCGGUACGCUUGUGUUGUUGACAGACCUGGGUUGAAAUACUAUUUGAUAUCGUUUCAAAUACUUUAUCUUGGCUCGACUGGCACAAUGGAACCAAUAGAAUAGUCACACGGACUGCAAGCCCCGCCCAUCAGGCACUCCAGGCAGACUAGACUAGAGCAAACUCUGAACGUUUUUGAAAGAUUUCAAGUAGUAAUUGAACCCUGGUCUGGUUGUUGAAAACAAGUACUAUGUGAGCAUAUUGUAUAUCUGAGAAGCCAAGAUUAUAGGUUUUCCUAGUUUUUGUUUUUAGACUUGUCAAAAUAUGUGAUGUCUUUUUGUUCUUUCUACCAGCUGUGUUAUAACCUAGUGAAGCAUUACACUGCUGUUGGAAGGAAAAGGCCCAAGUCAAUGGUUAUGUACCAAAUGGUACCCUAUUCCUUACAAGUGACACUUCUUUUGACUAGAGCUCUAUGGGCCCUGGUUCAAAGUAGUGCACUAUGGUACAUAGGGAAUAGGGUGCCAUUUGGGAUGCAGUAAUUAUUAUAGCUUUUUUGGAAAAGCAAACUGUAGUUAUUAUGGAGUGUCCUAUGUAGGUUAGGUUGUGCUGUUGUUGAUGUGUGUGUGUGUACAAUCGGUUUCCCUUUUCAUUUCUAAAGAGUCAAGAACAAGGUCAUUUUCCUUUUUAAACAGUGCCUAUUAAAUACUAAAAGAUGAACACUUUUGAAUUACAAGACAUCUAUAAAGUUAACUCUGACCAAGUUGUUCUCUCAACAAUUGACAUCAGAUGAGGAGUUAGGAUGAGAAGUUUAUUGUUUAUUAUGAAGUGUAAAAGAAGCCUGUCUGCUACAAUAUGUAAAGGGUUGUUUCUGUCUGACUGACUGACUCAGGAAAGAAGAUCCCUGGUUAACAGGUUCAUUCUCUAUUCUGGGUUUUCAACAGAGGAUCCUGCAUAUAACCAGUCCCACAGGAGCAAUACAACUCUGGCUGUGUCCCAAAGGGCAAUCUAUUCCUUUAUAUAGAGCACUACUUUCAACUGGUGAAAUGUAGGGAACUAUGUCGGGAAUAGUGUGUUAUUUGGGACACGCAGACUUAUUAUACACUAUUUCCUAACUGAAUGAAACCAAAUUGAGUCAUUCAUGGAGAAUUUUAACAUUUUGCAUUAGAGCAUGUUUUGUUU
This 1549-nucleotide long non-coding RNA is filed under the name Salmo salar (Atlantic salmon). RNAcentral describes it as "lncRNA (ENSSSAG00000083446.1)". The record is from RNAcentral. Lineage: Eukaryota; Metazoa; Chordata; Actinopteri; Salmoniformes; Salmonidae.